GCGGGUGUAGUUCAAUGGUAAAACAUAAGCUUCCCAAGCUUAGAAUGUGGGUUCAAUUCCCAUCACCCGCU
RNAcentral lists this transfer RNA (71 nucleotides) under Coxiella-like endosymbiont. It matches the Rfam family "tRNA". Rfam says of the family: Transfer RNA (tRNA) molecules are approximately 80 nucleotides in length. Their secondary structure includes four short double-helical elements and three loops (D, anti-codon, and T loops). The record is from Rfam by way of RNAcentral. Lineage: Bacteria; Pseudomonadati; Pseudomonadota; Gammaproteobacteria; Legionellales; Coxiellaceae.